This 500-nucleotide ribosomal RNA is filed under the name uncultured bacterium. RNAcentral's name for it is "partial 16S ribosomal RNA". It matches the Rfam family "Bacterial small subunit ribosomal RNA", at positions 30 to 523 of the family's 1533-position model. The record is from RNAcentral.
AUUGAACGCUGGCGGCAUGCCUCACACAUGCAAGUCGAACGGCAGCACGGACUUCGGUCUGGUGGCGAGUGGCGAACGGGUGAGUAAUAUAUCGGAACAUACCUUGUAGUGGGGGAUAACUAUCCGAAAGGAUAGCUAAUACCGCAUACGAUCUAAGGAUGAAAGCGGGGGAUCUUCGGACCUCGUGCUAUAAGAGUGGCCGAUAUCUGAUUAGCUAGUUGGUGAGGUAAAGGCUCACCAAGGCGACGAUCAGUAGCUGGUCUGAGAGGACGACCAGCCACACUGGAACUGAGACACGGUCCAGACUCCUACGGGAGGCAGCAGUGGGGAAUUUUGGACAAUGGGGGAAACCCUGAUCCAGCAAUGCCGCGUGAGUGAAGAAGGCCUUCGGGUUGUAAAGCUCUUUUGUCAGGGAAGAAACGGUUGUGGCUAAUAUCCAUGGCUAAUGACGGUACCUGAGGAAUAAGCACCGGCUAACUACGUGCCAGCAGCCGCGGUAA